Molecule: ribosomal RNA, 253 nt
Filed under: uncultured bacterium
Lineage: Bacteria
Description: partial 16S ribosomal RNA
Rfam family: Bacterial small subunit ribosomal RNA
Source: RNAcentral
UACGUAGGGUGCAAGCGUUGUCCGGAAUUAUUGGGCGUAAAGAGCUUGUAGGCGGUUUGUCGCGUCUGCUGUGAAAUUUCGGGGCUCAACCCCGAACUUGCAGUGGGUACGGGCAGACUAGAGUGUGGUAGGGGAGACUGGAAUUCCUGGUGUAGCGGUGAAAUGCGCAGAUAUCAGGAGGAACAUCAGUGGCGAAGGCGGCCCUCUGGUCCAGUACUGACACUCAAGUGCGAAAGCGUGGGGAGCAAACAGG